Molecule: ribosomal RNA, 844 nt
Filed under: uncultured bacterium
Lineage: Bacteria
Description: bacterial SSU rRNA
Rfam family: Bacterial small subunit ribosomal RNA
Source: RNAcentral
CCUGAACGCUGGCGGCGUGGUUAAGACAUGCAAGUCGCACGGGAGCAGCAAUGCUCUAGUGGCGCAAGGGUGAGUAAUGUAUCGCUAACGUACCCCGGAAUCUGGGAUAGCUGCCCGAAAGGGCAGGUAAUACCAGAUGAUAUAUCCUGGCCGCAUGGUUGGGAUCUCAAAGGAGCAAUUCGAUCUGGGCGCGGGCGAUAUCGUAUCAGCUAGUUGGUGAGGUAACGGCUCACCAAGGCGACGACGCGUAGCCGGACUGAGAGGUCGGUCGGCCACAUCGGGACUGAGACACUGCCCGGACUCCUACGGGGGGCUGCAGUAACGAAUCUUCCCCAAUGGGCGCAAGCCUGAGGGAGCGACGCCGCGUGGAGGACGAAGUCCUUCGGGAUGUAAACUCCUGUCAGGGGUUACCAAGUACUGAGGAGCCCCAAAGGAAGAGGCGGCUAACUCUGUGCCAGCAGCCGCGGUAAGACAGAGGCCUCGAGCGUUAGGCGGAAUCACUGGGCUUAAAGCGUGUGUAGGCGGAUCGUUAAGUGCCUUGUGAAAUCCCACGGCUUAACUGUGGAACGGCUGGGCAUACUGGCGGUCUUGAGCCAUCUAGGGGCGACUGGAACAAACGGUGGAGCGGUGAAAUGCGUAGAUAUCGUUUGGAACGCUAAUGGUGAAAACAGGUCGCUGGGGAUGCGCUGACGCUGAGACACGAAAGCCAGGGGAGCAAACGGGAUUAGAUACCCCGGUAGUCCUGGCCCUAAACGAUGUCCACUAGAUCAUGGUUCCUCUGACGGAUUCAUGGUCGAAGCAAAAGUGCUAAGUGGACCGCCUGGGAAGUACGGUCGCAAGGCUA